UGUGCAUCCCCAUUAACGUGGGCCAUCGGAUCGCAUGCUAAGGUCGAUCUGGCCAUCCACGUGUCCCAGCCUGACUACCCUUCCACCAUCGUCGGAUCAACCCUAGCCACCUUAGCUUCCUUCCCACAGCCUCAGCCGCGCGGCUCUCUUCUCGCCCGCGCCGCCUCCCCUAGCCUCGCCCUCCUCUCCUCAAGCAUGUGGAUCCGACCGCUCGGAGCCUUGGAAGCGAGGGAGCAAGCAGUCGCCACCACCCUCUUUUCCUCUCCUUCUCCACACUUUGACCGCCCCUCUCUCCCUCUCAGGCCUGGUCAGUGUCAGAUCCGGCUUAGGGGCUGCCGGAUUUGGUAG
This 348-nucleotide long non-coding RNA is filed under the name Oryza sativa Indica Group (long-grained rice). RNAcentral describes it as "lncRNA OsMH63_07G028400". Lineage: Eukaryota; Viridiplantae; Streptophyta; Magnoliopsida; Poales; Poaceae. The record is from RNAcentral. RNAcentral also lists the same sequence under 1 other name.